Long non-coding RNA from Alligator sinensis (Chinese alligator), 228 nucleotides. RefSeq lists it as uncharacterized. The transcript is spliced from 3 exons. NCBI's taxonomy places the organism in Eukaryota, Metazoa, Chordata, Crocodylia, Alligatoridae. The record is from RefSeq and is a predicted model, not a curated record.
CCAGAAGCAGACUGUUCUUGUCCCUAUGUGAUUCUCCAUGCUGAAGAUGUUGCUGAAGAUAAGCUUUCCAGUGCUUGAAAUGUGCUGGUUUCCAUUGGCUGUUUGUGAAAUAAUCUCUCUCAUAGGUGGCACAGACCAGAGUUCAGCAGGUAUGAGAAGCAAGUGUUUGAUUGCCUAAUGAAUCAUCAAGCAUUUUACUAUCCUGAGUUUGCUCCCCAACAUAAAAUA